UUAGAAUUUACCCUACGGCUAUACCUGAAUGAAACAAAAUGAUACACAUAUAAGUUUAGUCAUCACAGCAUUGUUUGUAAUAGCCAAAAUUUGGAAACAACUGAAACAUAGAGGAUUGGUUUAAUUAUGGUACAUUCAAACAGAAGAAUACUAUGCUGUUAUGAAAGAAGAACUAAAGAGAGGGAGGUAGGGAGAAAGGAGGAAAGGGAAAGCUUUCUUUCUGCUGAUACAGAAAGAUGUCCAAAAUCUAUUAUUUAGUGAAAGAAGUAAAUUGUAGAAUAAUCCAUAUAAUAUGCUACUUUUGUAUAAAAGUUGGGUAGGGACAAGGAUCCAUAUUCAAAUUGACUUACAUGCAUAUAAAAAACCUGAACGAAUAGAAGCAUAAGAAACUAAGACUAGUGUUUUUUUUGGUGGUGGGGUCAGAGAACUUGGGCAGAUGGGAGACACAGAUGACAGCAAGACAUCUCCCUGUGUAUCUUUGGUCACUUUUGUCUUUGAAUCACGGGCAUGUAUAGCCUAUUCAAAAAAAUAACCUAAGUAAGGAAAAAAUUGACUUAGCUCUUCAUGAAUUUAUAUUCUUCCAUAUAAAAUUUAGAAUAAGCUUGUUGAAUUGCUAAAGAAAAGAAAAAUCUAACUGGUUUGGACUAGGCUAAAACCCUUUGCUCUUCACUACUCUGCUCCUUUCACCAAGUGUCCAAAGUGCAAUGAGAGUUAUGAGGGCCAGAAGCCAUGAGAGGUUCCUGGCUGGGUGGAAACCAGGACUGGAAACAGUGAAGAACUCAGAAGAAGGUCACCAAGUUGUAUAUGGCUCUUGGUUUUCAUUUAAACACGGGCCAUUUAGAACAAUCUAUUCCUAUCCUUUCUGUUUGCCUAACUGUUUUGUUAAGGAAUUACAUCUCUAGAGAAGAAGGAAAAAGAAGUGUCAAAUAUAAUUUUUUGUUCAGUUAGAAUCAUUUUUAACAUUUAAAUAUAAAAAGUGAGCACUGACAUAUUUUAGACACACACACAGGUCUAAUAGCCAAAACAUGCAGAGGAAAUGAGCUCCUGCUCUGUCCUCCACAGUCCCCAGCCAAUGGUUGAAGCUGCUGCCAGCUCUCCCUCCUUUCCAACAUACAUAUAGAAGUUCACAGCGGUUGCUUUAUGUUACGGCUGUGAUGAAUUUUGCAUUUCAUAUCGUUUGCACGUCCCUCCCAAUAUCUCCAUUCUUCAAAAUAAAAUAAAAGUCAUUAAUGGUCAGGGGUGCAUCCUUCUCAAUGGCAUCAGUUCCUACCCCACAACAGAACAGUGAGGAAAUCUUCCCGUCAUGGGUAAUUUCAUGAAAGGAAGGGAGUGGGGAUGGCCAGAGCUGGAAUAACUGUCUGCAUUGCUGUGCUCUGGUAUCAGACAGAGGACUGAAGAAACAGGACAGUGUGGAGGCACAUUUGCAUGUUGGGAGUUUACAUGAAACAGGUGGGAAGAAUUCUCCCCACCAGGUUUAGAUAGAUCAGUGUGCCAAAGCUAAAAGAAAAAAAAUUCCAAAUGAUCAGAGUUCAAACACUAUCAAAUUUUCAAACUUCUCUCACGAAGACAGGUCUACUACAGAAGUAAUACUCUAGAUCUUUUCAGGAAGUGAAGUGCCCCUGGUAUUCCUCCUGACAGCCGUGUUAGGCCCUAGAAGUAUCUGCCAUUGCUGCAGUUGAAGCUGUAGCUCCAUCUGCAAUUUCUCAGUCUCAGAGAGAACGGCAAGUACCAGGACCGUGCAGGUCCCAAUCCACAAGGCUGCCCUGGAAAACCUGCACAUUUUUUGAGCCACAAAGGGAGGGAUCAAAAAUGUCUCCAGCCAUGGACAGGAUCUUCUCGGGGUACACCUCCGUCAGACCCCAUAGUCUCUCUGACAGGGUCUCAUCUAGCUCCUCGUUGCCUUCCUCUUCCAGCUUCUCCUCGCUCUUCUUGGCAUCGCCUUUCAGAAGCAAUUCAUCUGGGGACAGGGGCGCAGCAGGGCCGGCAGCGGGGGCGGCCUUGGCUGAAGCGGAGGUUGACUAUAUUAUCUUUAAAGCAACUCCGUGAGUGAAGACUACAGGAAAUGCAAGCGGAAACGCCUGCCUAAGGGGACGGAGCAGGUCCAGGGGGACUGGACGCCAGGCGCUGGGAAUUCUGGGUAGCGCAUUGCUGCUGUCCAGCCUGAACAAGGGACCCCAUGAUUUCUAGGACCCGUAAGUCUCCCAGGCGCUUUGCCUUGGCACGUGAUGAAUCCUUUGGUCUACACAGUAAGACAGCCCUUGAGGUAAGGAAAUUGGAGCCUGGGGUCCCCAGGAAAACAGGGUGAAGUGUAAAGAAGUCUGUGGGGGCCCAGCCUACGGCCGAGGCUGAGCCCCACUCCAGCUGGACAAUGCCCUAAAGAUGGCACCUGCUUCCCUGUUGGGGAUUGGCCCAGCAGACUUCCGUACCCGU
Molecule: long non-coding RNA, 2430 nt
Organism: Manis javanica (Malayan pangolin)
Lineage: Eukaryota; Metazoa; Chordata; Mammalia; Pholidota; Manidae
Source: RefSeq, a predicted model, not a curated record